Parus major (Great Tit) is the source of this 407-nucleotide long non-coding RNA. RefSeq lists it as uncharacterized. Lineage: Eukaryota; Metazoa; Chordata; Aves; Passeriformes; Paridae. The record is from RefSeq and is a predicted model, not a curated record. The transcript is spliced from 3 exons.
AAGGACGGAGCCUCAAGGAUGUCGAUGUCCCGGCCCCGCAGUGGCGCAGUGCCGGCCCGUCCCUGGAGCUGUGGCCCCGCUGGGGUCCCCUGCAGAGAAAGAAAUUAGUUAAGCCAUCCACAUGACACUUCAGGUAGCAGCUUGCUGUAAGAAAAUCAAUUCAAGACUUUGAAAUUAUGGCUGCAAUGGGAGCUGGAGAUGGUGGAGGAUCGAGGCACAGAGAGGUGAAAAGAUCUCAGCAAGGUCACACAGAAAGUCUCCUGGUGACAGGUCACAGUUUCAAAGUUCAGCUCCUGUUUGGCAACAUUGGCAUUUUUGAUGCAGCGCAGUUCUCCAGAAAAGCAAACCCUAAUGUCAAGGAACACAGUAUAAAUAAAUUUUCCUGGUAACCAUACAGUUACAGCAUA